GAUGAACGCUGGCGGCGUGCCUAAUACAUGCAAGUCGAGCGAACAGACGAGGAGCUUGCUCCUCUGACGUUAGCGGCGGACGGGUGAGUAACACGUGGAUAACCUACCUAUAAGACUGGGAUAAAUUCGGGAAACCGGAGCUAAUACCGGAUAAUAUAUUGAACCGCAUGGUUCAAUAGUGAAAGACGGUUUUGCUGUCACUUAUAGAUGGAUCCGCGCCGCAUUAGCUAGUUGGUAAGGUAACAGCUUACCAAGGCAACGAUGCGUAGCCGACCUGAGAGGGGGGUCGGCCACACUGGAACUGAGACACGGUCCAUACUCCUACGGGAGGCAGCAGUAGGGAAUCUUCCGCAAUGGGCGAAAGCUUGACGGAGCAACGCCGCGUGAGUGAUGAAGGUCUUCGGAUCGGAAAACUCUGUUAUUAGGGAAGAACAAAUGUGUAAGUAACUAUGCACGGCUUGACGGUACCGAAUCAGAAAGCCACGGCUAACUACGUG
Molecule: ribosomal RNA, 497 nt
Filed under: uncultured bacterium
Lineage: Bacteria
Description: partial 16S ribosomal RNA
Rfam family: Bacterial small subunit ribosomal RNA
Source: RNAcentral